UAAAUUGAGAGUUUGAUCCUGGCUCAGGACGAACGCUGGCGGCGUGCCUAACACAUGCAAGUCGAGCGAUGAAGCCCUUCGGGGUGGAUUAGCGGCGGACGGGUGAGUAACACGUGGGUAACCUGCCUUAUAGAGGGGGAUAGCCUUCCGAAAGGAAGAUUAAUACCGCAUGAAAUGUUUUUAUCGCAUGGUAGAAACAUCAAAGGAGUAAUCCGCUAUAAGAUG
This 225-nucleotide non-coding RNA is filed under the name Clostridium sulfidigenes. RNAcentral's name for it is "Bacterial small subunit ribosomal RNA". It matches the Rfam family "Bacterial small subunit ribosomal RNA", at positions 1 to 227 of the family's 1533-position model. Lineage: Bacteria; Bacillati; Bacillota; Clostridia; Eubacteriales; Clostridiaceae. The record is from Rfam by way of RNAcentral.